GAAGACAUCUCCCAACAAGGAGAUCAAAUCCGAGCCAAAUCUCCAACUCUCUUCUAUAAAACGGAAACCCCCUCCCUUCCUCGGCCUUCCAUCAUGGGAAAAUCCCUCUUCCACUCCCUCUUUCUCCCGAUUUUUCUUCGUUUCCUUGCUCUCGGAUUGAAGGCACUGCACCGGCGAAAUUGUGGCCCAAAACACCACCAAGAGUAAGGUGAUCCAUCGAGAAACCCUCUCUUUGAUUUCUUCUUAGAAUUUAGUCGAGAUUUUUGGGUUUUUAUCUGCUGAUAUUUUGGAGUAAAAGAUCGGAUUCCGGAACCUCUAUUUCUACCGUCCGCAUUUAUGGGUGUUCCGGCGCCGUCCGAUGCCAUUCAUCGCCGGCGAGCUCCGACCAGGAAGCCACGGCUACGCCGCCCUGGGUUGAACCCCCCACUCGCCGUUCCAGGCGAGACUUCCAUGGAAUCGGGGAGGAGAAGAAGGGGGGCACGGUCCCCUGUUCUGUUCAACUGAGAA
RNAcentral lists this long non-coding RNA (507 nucleotides) under Elaeis guineensis (African oil palm). RNAcentral describes it as "long non-coding RNA (EGUI_LNC027191)". The record is from RNAcentral. Lineage: Eukaryota; Viridiplantae; Streptophyta; Magnoliopsida; Arecales; Arecaceae.